Molecule: ribosomal RNA, 477 nt
Filed under: uncultured Rhodopirellula sp.
Lineage: Bacteria; Pseudomonadati; Planctomycetota; Planctomycetia; Pirellulales; Pirellulaceae
Description: bacterial SSU rRNA
Rfam family: Bacterial small subunit ribosomal RNA
Source: RNAcentral
AAUGAACGUUGGCGGCAUGGAUUAGGCAUGCAAGUCGCACGAGAAGUCUCAAUUAGCUUGCUAUGAGAGACGGACAGUGGCGAAAGGGAGAGUAACGCGUGGUUACUUGCCUUCGAGACCGGGAUAGCGUUGGGAAACUGGCGGUAAUACCGGAUAAUAUCUACGGAUCAAAUGGUGUGAUUCCGCUCGAAGAUAGGACCGCGUACUAUUAGCUUGUUGGUGAGGUAAUGGCUCACCAAGGCUGCGAUGGUUACCGGGUGUGAGAGCAUGGCCCGGCUCACUGGGACUGAGACACUGCCCAGACAUCUACGGAUGGCUGCAGUCGAGAAUCUUCGGCAAUGGACGAAAGUCUGACCGAGCGAUGCCGCGUGCGGGAUGAAGGCCCUCGGGUUGUAAACCGCUGUCAGUUGUUAGGAAAUCCAUAGGGGUCAUCCCUUAUGGUUGACCGAUCUUCAGAGGAAGGACGGGCUAAGUUCG